RNAcentral lists this small RNA (136 nucleotides) under Arabidopsis thaliana (thale cress). RNAcentral describes it as "ATSL166430". Lineage: Eukaryota; Viridiplantae; Streptophyta; Magnoliopsida; Brassicales; Brassicaceae. The record is from RNAcentral.
UGUUUUGUUAAACAUGUAUGACUUUAUAACUUUAAGACCGUGAGGCCAAACUUUACAUGUGAUACCUUUUCGGAAAGCCCAAAGAGAGCUCUCCGAUGAAUGAGGAAGGAAAAUGGAAUUCUUUUAUUGGUUUUUU